CAUGGCGUAGCUCAACGGAAAGAGCACUCUGUUAUCGACGAUCAGUAAUUGAUUCAUGAUUCGGGCAGAGAGGUUGUGAGUUCAAAUCUCACCGCCAUAA
RNAcentral lists this transfer RNA (100 nucleotides) under Herbaspirillum sp. SJZ099. RNAcentral describes it as "tRNA-Gln". It matches the Rfam family "tRNA". From Rfam's summary of the family: Transfer RNA (tRNA) molecules are approximately 80 nucleotides in length. Lineage: Bacteria; Pseudomonadati; Pseudomonadota; Betaproteobacteria; Burkholderiales; Oxalobacteraceae. The record is from RNAcentral.